This 262-nucleotide ribosomal RNA is filed under the name uncultured bacterium. RNAcentral's name for it is "partial 16S ribosomal RNA". It matches the Rfam family "Bacterial small subunit ribosomal RNA", at positions 57 to 305 of the family's 1533-position model. The record is from RNAcentral.
GCAAGUUGAGCGGAAACGACAUUAUUGAUUCUUCGGAUAAUUUAAUGGGCGUCGAGCGGCGGACGGGUGAGUAAUGCCUAGGAAAUUGCCUUGAUGUGGGGGAUAACCAUUGGAAACGAUGGCUAAUACCGCAUAAUGCCUACGGGCCAAAGAGGGGGAUCUUCGGGCCUCUCGCGUCAAGAUAUGCCUAGGUGGGAUUAGCUAGUUGGUGAGGUAAUGGCUCACCAAGGCGACGAUCCCUAGCUGGUCUGAGAGGAUGAUC